Molecule: RNA transcript, 1492 nt
Organism: Nicotiana tabacum (common tobacco)
Lineage: Eukaryota; Viridiplantae; Streptophyta; Magnoliopsida; Solanales; Solanaceae
Gene name: caffeic acid 3-O-methyltransferase-like
Source: RefSeq, a predicted model, not a curated record
ACUCCUCAUUACACCAUCGAAAACCCCUCUGUUUCUUCAACUCACCUUAAUUUGCCCAAUUGAGUCAUUGUAAAAUCUGAAACAGAACCAAGAGAGAAGAGAAAAAAAAUAUGGGUUCAACAAGCCAGAGCCAGAGUAAGAGUCUAACUCACACAGAAGACGAAGCGUUCUUAUUUGCCAUGCAAUUGGCUAGUGCUUCUGUACUUCCUAUGGUCCUAAAAUCAGCGUUAGAACUUGACCUUCUUGAACUCAUGGCUAAAGCUGGUCCAGGUGCAGCCAUUUCUCCUUCUGAAUUAGCUGCUCAGCUCUCAACCCAGAACCCAGAAGCACCCGUUAUGCUUGAUCGGAUGCUUAGGCUACUUGCUACUUACUCUGUUCUCAAUUGUACUCUUAGAACACUGUCUGAUGGCAGUGUUGAGAGGCUUUAUAGUCUGGCUCCGGUUUGUAAGUUCUUGACUAAGAAUGCUGAUGGUGUUUCUGUUGCCCCACUUUUGCUUAUGAAUCAAGAUAAAGUUCUUAUGGAGAGCUGGUACCACUUAAAAGAUGCAGUACUAGAUGGUGGAAUCCCAUUCAACAAGGCCUAUGGAAUGACAGCAUUUGAGUACCAUGGCACAGAUCCAAGAUUCAACAAAGUUUUCAACCGUGGAAUGUCUGAUCACUCCACUAUGUCAAUGAAAAAGAUUCUUGAGGACUACAAAGGAUUUGAAGGCCUAAAUUCCAUUGUUGAUGUUGGUGGUGGAACUGGCGCUACUGUUAACAUGAUUGUCUCCAAACAUCCCUCUAUUAAGGGUAUUAACUUUGAUUUACCACAUGUUAUUGGAGAUGCUCCAGCUUACCCUGGUGUCGAGCACGUUGGUGGCGACAUGUUUGCCAGUGUGCCAAAAGCAGAUGCCAUUUUCAUGAAGUGGAUUUGUCAUGAUUGGAGCGACGAGCAUUGCCUAAAAUUCUUGAAGAAUUGCUAUGAAGCACUACCUGCAAAUGGGAAGGUGAUAAUAGCGGAGUGCAUACUUCCAGAGGCCCCAGAUACAUCACUUGCAACUAAGAAUACAGUACAUGUUGAUAUUGUGAUGUUAGCACAUAACCCAGGAGGCAAAGAAAGGACUGAGAAGGAAUUUGAGGCUUUGGCUAAGGGCGCUGGUUUUACUGGAUUCCGCAAGGCUUGUUGCGCUUACAACACUUGGGUCAUGGAAUUCAACAAAUAAUUAAUCGAUUCCUUUGGAGGAUUAAGCAAUAUACUGUUCAUUUUGCAUUUUGAAAUUCUACUUUUCACAGAGUGGCUUUACUGCGAAAUAAAAGAAAUAUAUAGCUUUUACCUUGAAAAGAUCAAUGUUCAAAGGGAAAAAAAAAAAAGGAAGAUGAAAUAAUUGCUCUCAGAAAAGCAGUGUGUUAGGAAAAAGCUUUUUAGCUGGAUUUUGAAUUUUAUUGUAUGUAUUUCUGUAAUACACAUGUAUUGAAGGAAUACUAGUUUUCGACCAAUCAUAUUUCUUUGAGA